AGAGUUUGAUCCUGGCUCAGAACGAACGCUGGCGGCGUGCUUAACACAUGCAAGUCGAACGUGAAAGGGACUUCGGUCCUGAGUAAAGUGGCGCACGGGUGAGUAACACGUGGAUAAUCUACCCGAUGGACCGGGAUAACACUUCGAAAGGGGUGCUAAUACCGGAUAAGCCCACAGGCUCUUUGGAGUUUGCGGGAAAAGGUGGGGACCUUCGGGCCUACUGUCAUUGGAUGAGUCCGCGGCCCAUUAGCUAGUUGGUAGGGUAAUGGCCUACCAAGGCAACGAUGGGUAGCUGGUCUGAGAGGAUGAUCAGCCACACUGGAACUGAGACACGGUCCAGACUCCUACGGGAGGCAGCAGUGGGGAAUUUUGGACAAUGGGCGAAAGCCUGAUCCAGCCAUGCCGCGUGUAUGAAGAAGGCCUUCGGGUUGUAAAGUACUUUUGUUAGGGAAGAAAAGCUUGUUGCUAAUACCAGCAAGCCAUGACGGUACCUAAAGAAUAAGCACCGGCUAACUACGUGCCAGCAGCCGCGGUAAUA
This 538-nucleotide ribosomal RNA is filed under the name uncultured bacterium. RNAcentral's name for it is "bacterial SSU rRNA". It matches the Rfam family "Bacterial small subunit ribosomal RNA", at positions 8 to 525 of the family's 1533-position model. The record is from RNAcentral.